Molecule: non-coding RNA, 27 nt
Filed under: Homo sapiens (human)
Lineage: Eukaryota; Metazoa; Chordata; Mammalia; Primates; Hominidae
Source: RNAcentral
UUCCCACACGUUUUCCUAAUGGGCUGC